UGUUAAUGAGAUAAUUUAGUACUUUUGUCAGUAAUAUCAUUUCGAAGAAACUGAUUGAGAGUUAAGUGCUCAAGUUCUUCUUACAAUUCCUGUCUUUUCUUUUUAUUAAUAAGUAGACUUUUGUUUCUUUUUUUUUCUGAUUUUACAGCAUAUGUGGUAUUUGCAUGUAUUUUGUGAGUAAUGCUAGGUACUGGUGGUCAUUAAAAUUGAGGUAUUUUCUUUUCUAAGAAUUUAAGAUAAGCUGUGUCAAUAUCUUACCAAUUUGAAGUGUUGAUUUGGCUGUUAGGAUUACUUCCCUUGCUUAAGUAAAACCUUUAUGCCGCCUUUAUGUCAUUCUUGAUACUGUGGAUUAAAGAAUUUCUUAUUUAUUUGAUUUGUUUAAAUUUAGAUGUAAUUUUUUGUGCUAAAUAAGCUAUUUAAUACUUUUUUGUAUAAAAAGUUUAUUUUACACAAAAGCUUACUAGUUAUGCACAAAAGUGAAUUAAUAGUUCUUUUAUCCAUAAAAAUUCUACUUUGAUUUCUUUUCUGAAAAAAAGAAAUACAAAUCAUUUGAAAACCUGCUUACAAAACACAGCAAAAUUAAUGAAAAAGAAAAGUAAAUGUUUUUUUAUUCCUUAAUUAAAACAAUCACCAAAUUACAGGAGGAUAUAGUUUGAAUCAAAUGGUUUAAACUAUUUAUUUGAUUAUGGGUAGGUCUUCGAAAUCCAUAAUUUUGAAACAUCUCAUAUAGCAGAUAUAACCUUUCUAGCUAUUUGCAUUCGGUAAACAUUGAAAUGACACGGUUUCCACUAAGUCAUUGACAUUAUUCAGAAAAAUAUCUUAAAGUUGCACAGGAGUUUUUCCUGAAUGACACGGUCGAUUCUUUAGAUAUUUGGCGUUAACCUAUUAAAUCAGUAUAGUAAUACAACCUGUGAAAAGAUCCUUUGGAAGCAUAGAAUCUAACCAAUCACUUGGUUUGAUUUAGUCUAUUUUUGAGUGAUAAUGAAAUGUGCAAAACCUCUCACACCCUGUAGCGCUGGCUUAAGCGGAGUUCUUAGUUAUUAUUAUUUCGAAGGAAUUGAAGGACUUUUUAGUCCUUUAGUUCUACCUACAUUUUCCUGUGUCAUGGGUGAAGUCGGGAAGCAGGAAUGUCUUAUUUGCAGUCUACAUAGCUAUUGAUAGGGGUCUUGUGGAUCAUUGCUCGAUAACCGAAGUGAAACUCUGGGUAGCAGUUUCACUUCAGCCUUGCUGUCGACAAGUGUAUGCAACUUUUUUCUCCAAGACUGUCUCGAGUUGCAGCCUGACUUUGCCUUUAUUCGCUGAACAUAUUUUUGGUUUCGCACCAUCUGUUGUUUACUUAUUUCUUGAAAUCCCGCAAAUAGUUGAUUCAUUCUCCUCUGCAUUCAAUGCGGAUCUAGAGCAAGAAUGUUCAGGCUAGCCAGCUACAAUCAUAAAUCACUGAUGCCAAGUUUCGAUUGUAUCGCAGUUACAUGUAAAGCUAUGUUAGAACAUUAAUUACUAAUCAUCAGUCCAUUUAAGCACUCGUGAAACAUCUUAAAGGCAAUUGUCAUUGGUUGUUUGUUCUUCUUAUAAACAAGUUGGUUUUUGUGUCACCAGUUAGCAGUAUAAAUUUAGAUGUCUUGUGCAAAUAAAAUGACACUGUUGAUUACAUAAUUUCCUAUUCUUUUAUUUUUUUUAUAGUUGAUAUUAUGUUUUAUUAUACACAUAUAUAAAUUAUGUAAAAAAAUUGGCUUGUAUUUCACAAUUGAAUAUGAACAGACAGAUAAAAAUUUCGUAUUGUACCUUUUAAAUUCCGGAGUGUACCUUUUGUAUUGUAUGCUGCCGGACUACUUUCAUCAAUAUGUAUGACCUGACACAAUUCUAUAAAUAGUGCACAUAAAACUUCACUUAGUUCCAUUUUAAUAUCGAUAAACGUUGAAGACUUCGUUCAAUAACAAAACAGCAAACAUUAAGGUGGAGGUAUAUAAUAAAAGGGUCAGUAUAACAGUAGCUAGAUCUGAGAUUUUGUAUUCGGCUCUCGUGGAUUUUGCAAAGUCGGAUCACUCAGCGCUUGCGCGCCUCGUGAGAUCCGAUCUGGCAAAAAUCCACUCGAGCCGAAUACAGCUACAAUUAUAAUAACCCUAUUGUAUUUUUGUGUAUUUUUUGUUUCUUCUAAAUAAUGUCUGAAAUACUUCAUCCUUUAAAACAGUAUGCUUUACACCAAAGGCCAGCAGUGAAAUAAACAUUUCAUUUUUACUUUUGUACAUUAUAUUUUACUUUGAAAUUGUGUUUUUUUAUUUCUAAAAAUACUUUAUUCCAGUCAUUCAAUCAUCUACUGACAAAACACAGCAAAAUUAUUGUUUUUUAAUCCUUUGUUAAAAUAUUCACCAGAUUAAAGGAGUAGGAUAUAAUUUGAAUCAAAUAGUCAAAAGCCUUUGCUACUUAUAUUGUAAAUUGGUAGAUGUUUGAAAUGCAUAGUGCAGAACUGUUUGAUGUAGUACACAUACUUUACCAGUAUGAACCCAAGGACAUUGACAUGACUCUGUUUACAGUUCGAUUGAAGUAAGUUAGAUAGUUUUCUUGUUCAAUAGAUUGUUGUUUUGCUUUAUUUUCAGUUUUUAAUAUUAUGUGUUUGGAGCCAACCAUGAGAAUGUUCUUCAUUCAAGUCUUUGUCACCGACAAGUAUAUACCUCUGUCUGUAUCAAAGGUAUAUUUGAAUUUCUUUUUCGGCUCCUGAAACUAAUUGUUUGAUAUUUGGAAGAAGUUUGUUUUCGUCUGAUAUUUGGAAGUUUUGUCUGUGUUGAUGCCAUAAAGUGGAAGCACUUGAGGAUAUUUUCAGAAGAAUUCAGUCUGUGCUGUAAGUAUUCACUGUCUUUUUUGUGAUUUUAAGGUCAAGUAUUACCGGUACAUGUAAACCUGGUGCCAAAUUAUGCAUGUGUACUCUUGUCAUAUCCCAGUUCCGGUUUAUAAUUUUAACACUCUUCAUUUGCCUAUAGAAACUUAUCAUUUGAUGAAACAGCAAUUAUAACGUUAUAAAUUCCUAUUUUCUUUUUUAUGCCAUUGGUUUUUAAAGGCUGGCACUGGCAUCUUUUGAAAUGGCACGUAUUACUAGUAUCAUGUAUUUGAUGUCUGUAAAAGAGUUUAGUGCUUUCUUUGGUAAUAUUUCUUCUAAGGAACUGAUUGUGUGUUUAGUGUUUCAGUUAUUCCUACCAUGUCCUGUGUCAUGAGUUCAGUUUCGAAGCAGGUAGGUCUUGUUUGCUGUCUACAUAGCUAUCUGUUGGUGUGUUGUGGUCGAUUGCUUGAUAAUAGAAGUGAAAUUCUUGGUAGCAGUUUCACUUCCACAUUGCGGUCGAUUAGUAUAUGCAACAUUACACACUACGUCUACCCCGUACGCCGAGUUGCAAACUGACUGUGCCUUUAUUUGCUGAACAUAUUUUGGUUUCGCACCAUCUGUUGUUUACUCAUACCUUGAAAGCUUGCAGACAAUUUAUUCAUUCUCCUCUGCAUUCAGUUCGGAUCUAGUGCACGAAUGUUCCGGCAUGCCAACACCACUCGUAAAUCACUGAUGCCCAGUUUCGAUUGCAGCCCUGGCAGAAGUAAAGCAGUGUUGGAUGAUAAAUUACUAAUCAAGUCCAUUACACCACUCGUAAAACUUUUUUAGGAUAGUUCUCAUUGGUUGUCUAUUCGUCUUAUAAAUAGGUUGGCUUUUCGGGGUUUAUUUUUGAUUGCGAUACCGCAUGCAUUGUGUCAACAAUGCUGGGUACUGAUGGUCAUUGUUAUAAGCAGAAGUAUUUUCCUGUCUUACAAUUUAACAUAAGAUGUGCUAAAAUGUCGCAAAUUAACAAUAUUAAAUUAGAUGUAAAUAUGGCUGUUUGAAUUCCUUCCCUUGCAUUAGCAGUUAUUAACAGAACAUUGUGCAAAAAAUAGCACUCUUGUUUACAGAAUUUCUUAUUUCUUUUUUGGAAGAUGAUGCAAUGUUGUUUCUUUUUUGUUUGUCAAAUAAGGUAGGGAAAUACUCCAUCCUGAAUUCUACUUUAAAAUUGUUAAAGCUGAAAUUCUAGUCACUCAAACAUGUACCGAUAAAACACAGCAAAUUUAUCGUUUUUUAAUACUUUGUUAAAAUAAUCACCAGAUUAAAGGAGGAGGAUGUAGUUUGAAUCAAAUGGUCAGAAUUAUUUUGCUAUUUAUAUUGCAAAUAGGUAGAUGUUUGAAAUUCAUAGUUUAGAAAUCUUUGAUUUAGUAGAAAUGCUUUAUCUACACAUUUAAACUUGGAAAACAUUGAAAUGACCGGGUGUGCAGUUCUGUUCAUUUAAGCUGAGAUAGUUUGUGUUAAAUAAAGUGUUGUUUUGUUUUAUUUUCAGUUUUUAGUUACUUAUUUGUUUGGGUUCAGACUAUAAGAAUGUUCUUCAUUCAAGUCUUUGCCACUGGUGGGCAUUACAGACAAUAGAAGCUAUUUAGUCUGUGCUUUUAUUAGCGCAAAUUCUUCAAAAGAUUCAGAUGGAGGGGAGGAAAUGUUUUUGGUUGCACCUACAUGGCCAACACAAGACUGGUUUCCUCGAUUACUUCAGAUAUUGAUAGACUGUCCACGAUUUCUUCCUGUGUCGCAGGAACACAUCAUCCACUAUAAUUACACAGACUUCACCUUGCAGCCUUUCGCAUAUUAAGGAAAAAUUACAAACAGAAGGAUUUUCAGAAGACGUAUCGACAUCAUUGUGUCAUCAUGGAAGGAUAGUACAAAAAUCGAAUAUCGGGGUUAUCUUGAAAAGUGGUUCCGUUUUUGUGCUGAACGAAAUGUUGAUUCCUUUUCAGCAAAUGUGAAAGUUGUUUUAAAUUUCUCUAUCACAGAGGAUUGAGUUACAGUUCGCUAAACUCGGCUCGUUCUGCUCUAAACUCAUGUCUAAGUUUCAUGUCAAAGGAUUCAGUUUCACUGGGAAACAGUUAUAUGGUGAAAAGAUUUAUGAGACGUGUGUUUUGUUAAGACCGGCUCUUCCUAGGUAUCAGUUUACUUGGGGCGUACAGACUAUAUUGAAUUAUCUUAAGCAAAUUAAUAGAAAAGAUAAUUUGAAACUGUUGACAUAAAGUUUUAGGCUUGUUAGGACUACUGACAGCUCGAAGGGUUUAAUCUCUACAUUUUCUUAGACAAUCGAAUCACUGACCUUUUGAAACAAUCUAGACCAGGGAACCAUUUGCCCGAAAUGUAUUUCAAAGCAUAUGCUGAAAAUUCAUUAUGAGUUGUUCAUUGCUUAAAGCUAUAUCUUGAAAUGACAAGAGGUUUGAGAAAUAAUGAGACAUCGUUGUUUAUCAGUUAUAGUAAACGCUUAAAGCUUUAUCAAAAGAUACGUUCGCAAGAUGGAUCAAACAGAUACUAAAUAGUGCAGGAAUUGACACUAAUCUGUUUAAAUCUCACAGCAUAAAAUCUGCAGCAACAUCUCAUGCUUCACGAAAAACUAUUCCCAUAGGUACUAUACUGAGAACAGCAGGAUGGUCAAAAGAAUCAACUAUAGUAUUAUAAGAAGCCUAUCACAAAUGAUACUUCUUUUGCAGACGCGGUACUGAAUAAAUAAAUUUUGAUAUUAAGACCGUAAUGUGUAGUGAUAUGAGGCCAUAAGUGCUAAUGUGUCCUAUUUAAAGGUUAUUUUAUGUCUGUGAACAGUGAAUUAUAAGAUGUUUCAUGUUUAUAAACUGGUGCCGCCAUAAUAUUUACUUUAUGAAACAUUA
This is a long non-coding RNA of Mercenaria mercenaria, 5697 nucleotides long. RefSeq lists it as uncharacterized. The transcript is spliced from 3 exons. The record is from RefSeq and is a predicted model, not a curated record. NCBI's taxonomy places the organism in Eukaryota, Metazoa, Mollusca, Bivalvia, Venerida, Veneridae.